CAGCCGUAAACUAUGCGCGUUAGGUGUCAGGCAUGGCGCGACCGUGUCUGGUGCCGCAGGGAAGCCGUGAAGCGAGCCACCUGGGAAGUACGGCCGCAAGGCUGAAACUUAAAGGAAUUGGCGGGGGAGCACAACAACGGGUGGAGCCUGCGGUUUAAUUGGACUCAACGCCGGACAACUCACCGGGGACGACAGCAAUAUGUAGGCCAGGCUGAAGACUCUGCAUGACUAGCUGAGAGGUGGUGCAUGGCGUAGACGUCU
This 261-nucleotide ribosomal RNA is filed under the name uncultured archaeon. RNAcentral describes it as "partial 16S ribosomal RNA". It matches the Rfam family "Archaeal small subunit ribosomal RNA", at positions 748 to 1009 of the family's 1478-position model. The record is from RNAcentral.